Molecule: ribosomal RNA, 429 nt
Filed under: bacterium
Lineage: Bacteria
Description: partial 16S ribosomal RNA
Rfam family: Bacterial small subunit ribosomal RNA
Source: RNAcentral
UAGGGAAUCUUCCACAAUGGACGCAAGUCUGAUGGAGCAACGCCGCGUGAGUGAAGAAGGUUUUCGGAUCGUAAAGCUCUGUUGUUGGUGAAGAAGGAUAGAGGCAGUAACUGGUCUUUAUUUGACGGUAAUCAACCAGAAAGUCACGGCUAACUACGUGCCAGCAGCCGCGGUAAUACGUAGGUGGCAAGCGUUGUCCGGAUUUAUUGGGCGUAAAGCGAGCGCAGGCGGAAUGAUAAGUCUGAUGUGAAAGCCCACGGCUCAACCGUGGAACUGCAUCGGAAACUGUCAUUCUUGAGUGCAGAAGAGGCGAGUGGAAUUCCAUGUGUAGCGGUGGAAUGCGUAGAUAUAUGGAAGAACACCAGUGGCGAAGGCGGCUCUCUGGUCUGCAACUGACGCUGAGGCUCGAAAGCAUGGGUAGCGAACAGG